UUCUUGGCUCAGGACCGAACGCUGGCGGCGUGCCUUACACAUGCAAGUCGAACGGGGUAAAGAGGUUCGGUUUUUUUAUUUAGUGGCGAACGGGUGAGUAACGCGUGAGGAACCUGCCUUUCAGUGGGGGACAACAGUUGGAAACGACUGCUAAUACCGCAUGACACUUCUUGGGGGCAUCCCUGAGGAGUCAAAGCUUUAUGUGCUGAAAGAUGGCCUCGCGUCUGAUUAGCUAGUUGGUGAGGUAACGGCUCACCAAGGCGACGAUCAGUAGCCGGUCUGAGAGGAUGAACGGCCACAUUGGGACUGAGAUACGGCCCAGACUCCUACGGGAGGCAGCAGUGGGGAAUAUUGGGCAAUGGGGGAAACCCUGACCCAGCAACGCCGCGUGAAGGAAGAAGGCCCUCGGGUUGUAAACUUCUUUUACCAGGGACGAAGGACGUGACGGUACCUGGAGAAAAAGCAACGGCUAACUACGUGCCAGCAGCCGCGGUAAUACGUAGGUUGCAAGCGUUGUCCGGAUUUACUGGGUGUAAAGGGCGUGUAGGCGGAGGAGCAAGUCAGAUGUGAAAUCCCGGGGCUUAACCCCGGAACUGCAUUUGAAACUGUUUCCCUUGAGUAUCGGAGAGGCAAGCGGAAUUCCUAGUGUAGCGGUGAAAUGCGUAGAUAUUAGGAGGAACACCAGUGGCGAAGGCGGCUUGCUGGACGACAACUGACGCUGAGGCGCGAAAGCGUGGGGAGCAAACAGGAUUAGAUACCCUGGUAGUCCACGCUGUAAACGAUGAAUACUAGGUGUGGGAGGACUGACCCCUUCCGUGCCGCAGUAACACAAUA
RNAcentral lists this ribosomal RNA (834 nucleotides) under uncultured bacterium. RNAcentral describes it as "bacterial SSU rRNA". It matches the Rfam family "Bacterial small subunit ribosomal RNA", at positions 16 to 862 of the family's 1533-position model. The record is from RNAcentral.